GCUGAAAGGCAACAUUUCUGGACAUUUUACAGUUUAUGCAAUAUUUAUCUCGGAAAAAAACCAGGAAAACAGUGCACUGUCCAAGAAACUGCAUAUAGAGUUUACUGUAAUAGUGAACUCACCUAGCAACAAUUCAUAUGAUACUUUGGAAGAGAAAAUUAAAACUAUCUUAAAGAAUAACAACUCAUUUGCAGGAGUCAGUAUUAGCCCGUCGACGUUACAGGCCAACAUUUUUAAACCUUCUGAAGGGGGAGUUUGCAACGUGCCUGGAUAUACAGAAUGUGACCCCCUGACUACUUAUUGCAAAAACGAGGAACCGAUACAAUAUGAUAAUCCAAAAUCAUACUACAGCUGUCAAUGCU
This is a long non-coding RNA of Mya arenaria, 362 nucleotides long. RefSeq lists it as uncharacterized. NCBI's taxonomy places the organism in Eukaryota, Metazoa, Mollusca, Bivalvia, Myida, Myidae. The transcript is spliced from 3 exons. The record is from RefSeq and is a predicted model, not a curated record.